Molecule: long non-coding RNA, 592 nt
Organism: Cygnus olor (mute swan)
Lineage: Eukaryota; Metazoa; Chordata; Aves; Anseriformes; Anatidae
Exons: 2
Source: RefSeq, a predicted model, not a curated record
CACAAGUCCAAGUGAUUCAGCUCUCAACUUUGUGUCAUGCUCUCUGUUUGAUCUUUGCAAGACAGUGUGGGUUUGUUCAUCCAAGGAAAGGACUGCAUGCCCUGUCUGAACUAGCAGAGCCCUCUGAACAUCACCCAGGAGCAAAGAAAAAACACUUCUGAGUGUCAGCCCAUAGCCAGCACUACUGGGGGGAGCUCCCCAAAGCCAAAACAACCUCCAUGAGUUCCUCAGGAAGCCAUCCCUGGAUGACAGCCACAUCAGGCUGAGACCACUGCCUUGGGUGUGCAGGACUGCUUGUCCUUUUACUCCCCUGUUAGUCAAUACUUGCCUGUUGUCUGUGGUGCUAUAUUUAAAUGGUGAACUGCUUGGAGCACACCCUGUCCUUUCAUUUUGUGAUUGCACUGUGCCUCAUAUAAUGGGGUAUUGCUUCAUGACUUGUGCUGUUAGGAAUGGAUGCAAAGCAAAUAAAUAAUAUUAAUGCUAAUAAGAACCUUUCCUUACUUCCUGCUUUUGUCUUUCUUUCAUUUGUUUAUUUUAUCUUCGCUGUUAUAUUUGUGCUUAUGUCACUUAAAUAAAAGAGCUACUCAAAUGC